UACGAAGGGUGCAAGCGUUAUUCGGAAUCACUGGGCGUAAAGAGCGUGUCGGCGGUUUUUAAGUCAUCUGUUAAAGGGCUCGGCUCAACCGAGUACAUGCGGGUGAUACUGAAAAACUAGAGUACGAGAGAGAAGGGUAGAAUUCUCGGAGUAGCGGUAAAAUGCGUAGAUCUCGAGAGGAAUACCGGUUGCGAAGGCGGCCCUUUGGCUCGUAACUGACGCUUAAGCGCGAAAGCGUGGGGAGCAAACAGG
Molecule: ribosomal RNA, 252 nt
Filed under: uncultured bacterium
Lineage: Bacteria
Description: partial 16S ribosomal RNA
Rfam family: Bacterial small subunit ribosomal RNA
Source: RNAcentral